Molecule: non-coding RNA, 356 nt
Organism: Erythranthe guttata (spotted monkey flower)
Lineage: Eukaryota; Viridiplantae; Streptophyta; Magnoliopsida; Lamiales; Phrymaceae
Source: RefSeq, a predicted model, not a curated record
GAGGCUACAGCCGAUCAAAUAUUUCGGCACGUGCUAUUGAAGCCUACUUAAUUCAGAUAUUAAAAACGGGUUUCUUCCAUGCGGAUCCUCAUCCAGGAAAUCUUGCAAUCGACGUCGACGAAUCGCUUAUAUAUUACGACUUUGGUAUGAUGGGAGAUAUUAAGAGCUUUACGAGGCAGAGGUUAUUAGACGUUUUUUACGCCGUUUAUGAGAAGGAUGCCAAAAAGGUUAUGCAAGGUCUCAUCGAUCUUGGAGCGCUUCAGCCAACCGGGGAUUUGUCAGCGGUGAGGAGAUCAGUACAGUUUUUCUUGGAUAAUUUGCUGAAUCAAAGACCUGAUCAGCAGCAAACUUUGUCG